GCCGGGCGUGGUGGCGUGGGCCUGUAAUCCCAGCUACUAAGGAGGCUGAGGCAGGAGAAUCACUUGAACCCAGAAGGUGGAGGUUGCAGUGAGCCGAGAUUGCGCCGUUGCACUCCAGCCUGGGCAACAAGAGUGAAACUCAGUCUCAAAAAUAAAUAAAUAAAAUUAAGUCUUAUUUAUUUAUUUAUUUGAGACAGAGUGUUGCUGUGUCGCCCAGGCUCUUAGCUCACUGCAACCUCCGCCUCCCUGGCUCAAGCAAUUAGCCUGCCUCA
This 272-nucleotide small RNA is filed under the name Pan troglodytes (chimpanzee). The record is from RNAcentral. Lineage: Eukaryota; Metazoa; Chordata; Mammalia; Primates; Hominidae.